GCGGGUAUAGUAUAAUUGGUAAAUACACUAUUCGUCCAGAAUAGAAACAUGGGUUCGAAUCCCAUUCACCCGCUCCA
RNAcentral lists this transfer RNA (77 nucleotides) under Fidelibacterota bacterium. RNAcentral describes it as "Candidatus Marinimicrobia bacterium tRNA-Gly". It matches the Rfam family "tRNA". Rfam says of the family: Transfer RNA (tRNA) molecules are approximately 80 nucleotides in length. Their secondary structure includes four short double-helical elements and three loops (D, anti-codon, and T loops). Further hydrogen bonds mediate the characteristic L-shaped molecular structure. tRNAs have two regions of fundamental functional importance: the anti-codon, which is responsible for specific mRNA codon recognition, and the 3' end, to which the tRNAs corresponding amino acid is attached (by aminoacyl-tRNA synthetases). tRNAs cope with the degeneracy of the genetic code in two manners: having more than one tRNA (with a specific anti-codon) for a particular amino acid; and 'wobble' base-pairing, i.e. permitting non-standard base-pairing at the 3rd anti-codon position. Lineage: Bacteria; Pseudomonadati; Fidelibacterota. The record is from RNAcentral.